This 668-nucleotide ribosomal RNA is filed under the name Ruegeria sp. KR05-84. RNAcentral's name for it is "bacterial SSU rRNA". It matches the Rfam family "Bacterial small subunit ribosomal RNA", at positions 40 to 752 of the family's 1533-position model. Lineage: Bacteria; Pseudomonadati; Pseudomonadota; Alphaproteobacteria; Rhodobacterales; Roseobacteraceae. The record is from RNAcentral.
CGGUACAUUUUGCUUUUUCAUGCAUAUCGAGCGCACCUUCGGGUGAGCGGCGGACGGGUUAGUAACGCGUGGGAACAUACCCUUUGGUACGGAAUAGCCUCUGGAAACGGAGAGUAAUACCGUAUGAGCCCUUCGGGGGAAAGAUUUAUCGCCAAAGGAUUGGCCCGCGUUAGAUUAGGUAGUUGGUGGGGUAAUGGCCUACCAAGCCUACGAUCUAUAGCUGGUUUUAGAGGAUGAUCAGCAACACUGGGACUGAGACACGGCCCAGACUCCUACGGGAGGCAGCAGUGGGGAAUCUUGGACAAUGGGGGCAACCCUGAUCCAGCCAUGCCGCGUGAGUGAUGAAGGCCUUAGGGUCGUAAAGCUCUUUCGCCUGUGAAGAUAAUGACGGUAGCAGGUAAAGAAACCCCGGCUAACUCCGUGCCAGCAGCCGCGGUAAUACGGAGGGGGUUAGCGUUGUUCGGAAUUACUGGGCGUAAAGCGCACGUAGGCGGACUGGAAAGUUGGGGGUGAAAUCCCAGGGCUCAACCCUGGAACUGCCUCCAAAACUAUCAGUCUAGAGUUCGAGAGAGGUGAGUGGAAUUCCGAGUGUAGAGGUGAAAUUCGUAGAUAUUCGGAGGAACACCAGUGGCGAAGGCGGCUCACUGGCUCGAUACUGACGCUGAGGU